AGCAGCCGCGGUAAUUCCAGCUCCAAUAGCGUAUAUUAAAGUUGUUGCAGUUAAAAAGCUCGUAGUUGAAUUUCGAGACCGGUUUACUGGUCGUGCUUUUGUACGUACUGGUAUUAUUGGUUUCUCCUUUCUGACGAAUCAUAAUGCCAUUAAUUUGGUGUUUUAGGGAAUCAGGACUGUUACUUUGAAAAAAUUAGAGUGUUUAAAGCAGGCUCACGCUUGAAUACAUUAGCAUGGAAUAACGAAAUAGGACGUUUGAUUUUAUUUUGUUGGUUUCUAGGAUCGACGUAAUGAUUAAUAGGGAUAGUUGGGGGCAUUAGUAUUCAAUUGUCAGAGGUGAAAUUCUUGGAUUUAUUGAAGACUAACUACUGCGAAAGCAUUUGCCAAGGAUGUUUUCAUUAAUCAAGAACGAAAGUUAGGGGAUCGAAGACGAUCAGAUACCGUCGUAGUCUUAACCAUAAACUAUGCCGACUAGGGAUCGGAUGAUGUUAAUUUUUAAUGUACUCAUUCGGCGCCUUAC
This 520-nucleotide ribosomal RNA is filed under the name uncultured Glomus. Its description in RNAcentral is "SSU rRNA". It matches the Rfam family "Eukaryotic small subunit ribosomal RNA", at positions 569 to 1091 of the family's 1831-position model. The record is from RNAcentral. Lineage: Eukaryota; Fungi; Glomeromycota; Glomeromycetes; Glomerales; Glomeraceae.